Molecule: ribosomal RNA, 253 nt
Filed under: uncultured bacterium
Lineage: Bacteria
Description: partial 16S ribosomal RNA
Rfam family: Bacterial small subunit ribosomal RNA
Source: RNAcentral
UACGAAGGGUGCAAGCGUUACUCGGAAUUACUGGGCGUAAAGCGUGCGCAGGCGGUUUUGUAAGCCAGAUGUGAAAGCCCCGGGCUCAACCUGGGAAUGGCAUUUGGGACUGCAAGGCUUGAGUGCGGCAGAGGAGACUGGAAUUCCUGGUGUAGCAGUGAAAUGCGUAGAUAUCAGGAGGAAUACCGAUGGCGAAGGCAGGUCUCUGGGCUGACACUGACGCUCAUGCACGAAAGCGUGGGGAGCAAACAGG